RNAcentral lists this ribosomal RNA (472 nucleotides) under uncultured archaeon. RNAcentral's name for it is "partial 16S ribosomal RNA". The record is from RNAcentral.
GGAUGUAAAGCGAAAACCUUUCUAUAUUGUACGACUGGUUUUUCUGCCCCUCAUUAUAAUUGUUCUGUUGUCGUUUUCUGUUUUCUGGAUGGACCGAUCGACGAUUGGCGAUCGGUUGAGUGUCUCGUUCAUCGGAAUCCUGACCGCUGUUGCCUACCAACUUAUGGUAAGUGACCAACUCCCUAGUAUCUCUUACUUCACACUCAUUCAUGGGUUCCUGAACCUCAGCUUUUAUAUUAUGUGCACAACAGUUGUCAUUAAUCUGGUAGUAGCCUCGUUAGACAAGAAAGGAAAGAGCGAACUUGGUGAUCGUCUAGAUUGCCGAUGUCGUUGGGCCUUCCCACUCGUAUAUUUUGGACUCUUAUUCAUCAUGUUCUGUGGAGCGAUGCUGUUCUUUUAGCCUUGUACUAUUGAAAUUCCAUUUUUGUCUUUUGAUGAGGUGCAAUCUUAGGGAGGUUGGACAGAUUCCGGA